Molecule: transfer RNA, 64 nt
Filed under: Idioscopus sp. 'myrica'
Lineage: Eukaryota; Metazoa; Arthropoda; Insecta; Hemiptera; Cicadellidae
Description: tRNA-Asp
Source: RNAcentral
AAAGAUUUAGUUUAAAAUAAAACAUUAGUUUGUCAAAUUAAAAUUACUUGUUUAGUAAUCUUUU